CAUAUUUUAUAAAUUAGAGUGGAAGCUUAACCCCGAAGAACUUAAAAUUAUUUAUUAGCUAAAUGGUUACUAGUGAUAGUUGUUGCUGGCACAUAAUUAAAAUGAUUUUUAAUGCAGAAAUCCAUGGUUUGAUUCAUGAAUCUUGAUGGGGGGUUUUUGGUUUAAUAUUCAAACUCAAAUUGAUGUUGAACUUGUUGCAAGCCUGGAUAUAUACCAGAUAUUCAUGCCACCUGUAAAGAAAAAAUAAUAAGGUUUCAAUAUUCAUCAAAGACGCAGUCCAACAAAAAACGAGUUCAAUCUCAUUCCCAUCUAAUAAGAAGAUACAAAAGAUGAUGCUACUAAUGAUUCUUGUCAUUCUUCUUCCCGUAUUUCUUCUUCAAAAGUACCAAAAAAAGAGAAGCCCAGCAAAGGAAAGCUCCCAUGGUGUAUCUCAUCAAGUGAAACAUCAAGUUUUCUUGAGCUUCAGAGGUGAAGACACACGCCUUAACUUCACCAGCCAUCUACUCAAAGCUUUGAAAGAUACGGGAAUUAAUGUAUUCUUCGAUGAAGAAACUUUGGAAAGAGGGAAGCAACUUUCACAAGCACUUUCUCGAGCUAUUGCAGCCUCAAACAUCUCAAUAAAUAUAUUAUCAUUAGAUUAUGCUUCUUCAAAAUCGUGCCUGGCUGAACUCUCUGACAUCAUGGACUACAAGCGCACUCAAGGACAUACUGUUCUUCCCAUUUUUUAUCAUGUUGAUCCUUCCCAUGUUCGGAAUCUUGGUGGAAGUUUCAAAACUUCCUUUGAUGAUCAUGAAUCAAAAAGGCUACGUCAGGUACAACGAUGGAAAGCUGCCUUUGUUGAAGUGGGAAAAUUAAAAGGGAGGCAUAUAGAAGGAGGCAAAUUUGACAGACCUGAAACAGAGUACAUCAAGGAUAUUAUUGAAUAUGUUAUAAAAAUGUUGAUGAGUAGCAAAUCUAGACAUGUUUAUGAAGAACUGGUCGGAAUAGGAUAUCAGAAAGAUGCAAUUUCGAGGCUGAUUGAGCAAAAAGGCAGCCGUGUAAUAGGACUCUGGGGAAUGGGUGGUAUAGGCAAAACAACCCUUGCUGAUGCUGUAUAUAAGGAAAUGUCUCCAAAGUUUGAAAGCUGCUGGUUUCUUCAAAAUGUUAGUGAGAAAAUAAAAAAACAAGGAAAGGAAUCUUUACGAAAUGAUCUUCUCUCCAAACUGUUAAAUGAAAAAGAUAUUCGUAUAGAUACUCCUUUGAUAGGAUACCCUUACCAAGGGAGGCUGAACAAUAAAAAAGUACUUCUUGUGCUUGAUGAUGUUAGUCACCAAGACCAAAUAACUAUUAUGGGUGUUAGACAUUUUGGUGAUGGAAGUAAAAUCAUUGUAACAUCUAGAGAUAGAAAAGUACUUGAGAAUGGAGAAGCUGACCAAAUUUAUGAGGUAAAGAAUUUAAAUGAGUUUGACUCUCUUCAACUAUUUUCCACUUGUGCAUUUAAGCAGUCGACUCCUGAUGCUGCUUUUCGAGACCUAUCGAUAAAGUUUGUUGAGUACACCCAAUACAAUCCACUUGCUCUAAAAGUUUUGGGUUCCCAACUAUAUAAAAGGUCUAGAGAAUAUUGGAAAAGCGAGAUGGAUAAGCUAAAGGAAUAUGGCCAACCAGAAAUUUCAAAUAUUUUGAAGAGAAGCUUUGAUGAGCUUGAUGAACAAGAAAAGAAUAUAUUCCUUGAUAUUGCAAUCUUCUUCCAAGGGGAACCCGAGGAAAAUGUAGAAAAAAUUCUAAGUAGUUGUUAUAAUGGCGCAAAGUCUAGCAUUAGAAACUUGAUCGACAAGUGUCUACUAGAUAUCACACCUCUUCCUAUUUCUUUGCGUGAUAUGCUUGAAAUUCGCAGUAAGUUUCACAAGAGAAAAGAAGAAGAGAUUGCAAGUUCCCCUUAUAGAGGUGCAUUAGAUGAUCGAAGAAGUAGUUUCUUGGAUGAGAUUCCGAAUUGUAUUUCUAUGCAUGAUAUGUUUGAGCUGAUGGGCAAGGACAUUGUUCGCCAAGAAUCUAGAGUUCCUGGAAUGCGCAGUAGGUUAUGGAAUCCUAAUGAAGUAAAGCAAGUGCUCAGAUAUAAUAAAGGUAUGAAGAUGGAAGUGAUUGGUGUAAGCAAAUCAUAUGAGAAAAACAGAGACCCAAGAGAGAAUUAAUGGCAGAUCUUUGGAGAGGCCAUUAUACUUUGAGCUUUAGCUAUACAAAAGAUCAGAGGAACAUAUUCGCCUUGUUUCUGGACCUACAGAGGAACCCUAUGCUCUUGAGAAUUUAGCCUUCCUAGACAGAAAUUGAUGGUCUGAUUCAUGAUUCUUGAUGAAGAAGAAGACAAGAAUUAUGAGGAGGCAUCAUUCAAAUUCUGCAUCAGAAAUUUCUAUAUCUAUCAUGAAGAAAAUAGCAUGAAGAAUAUAUUAAGGUGGAGAGCUGUGGUGUUCAUGUAUUUUACGUGGAUGCAAAGAGCGAUAGAGAUGUUAGUGAAUAGAGACUUGCUGAGAACAAAAGAAGCUUUAGCCAUGAUGGUGAAGAAGGGGAUGGAGGUCUUAAAAGAUUGAAAUAGUUUGUAUUUCUUUCCAUCCUUGUCUCUGCAUUUGAAGAGUUUCAACUUCUCAAUUAUGUCAUUCAAAUGCAUAGGUAAAGGUUUCAUUUUCAUCUCAUUUUUUCAUAUUACCACUUUUUCAUUUUCAACUUAUAAAUUAGUGACAGAAAAUGAAGUGCUUUAAUUAAAUAAAACCAACCAGGAUGAAUCUAAACUUCCUCUGCUUUAUAAAUUACUUGUCUUCUAGAAGGCUCUUUACCAUACUGAAACCUUGUAGUUCCACAUUGUAAAUGUUAAAAGCAUAAUUUAUGAACAUAAAAUUGGAAAUUUGUUCAA
RNA transcript from Gossypium arboreum, 2881 nucleotides. It is a transcript of the gene named disease resistance protein RUN1-like, with no coding region annotated. The transcript has 5 exons. Lineage: Eukaryota; Viridiplantae; Streptophyta; Magnoliopsida; Malvales; Malvaceae. The record is from RefSeq and is a predicted model, not a curated record.